Molecule: ribosomal RNA, 447 nt
Filed under: Escherichia coli
Lineage: Bacteria; Pseudomonadati; Pseudomonadota; Gammaproteobacteria; Enterobacterales; Enterobacteriaceae
Description: partial 23S ribosomal RNA
Rfam family: Bacterial large subunit ribosomal RNA
Source: RNAcentral
CGAAUGCUGACAUAAGUAACGAUAAAGCGGGUGAAAAGCCCGCUCGCCGGAAGACCAAGGGUUCCUGUCCAACGUUAAUCGGGGCAGGGUGAGUCGACCCCUAAGGCGAGGCCGAAAGGCGUAGUCGAUGGGAAACAGGUUAAUAUUCCUGUACUUGGUGUUACUGCGAAGGGGGGACGGAGAAGGCUAUGUUGGCCGGGCGACGGUUGUCCCGGUUUAAGCGUGUAGGCUGGUUUUCCAGGCAAAUCCGGAAAAUCAAGGCUGAGGCGUGAUGACGAGGCACUACGGUGCUGAAGCAACAAAUGCCCUGCUUCCAGGAAAAGCCUCUAAGCAUCAGGUAACAUCAAAUCGUACCCCAAACCGACACAGGUGGUCAGGUAGAGAAUACCAAGGCGCUUGAGAGAACUCGGGUGAAGGAACUAGGCAAAAUGGUGCCGUAACUUCGGG